CAGAUUGUAACAAACAUUUGCGUUUGAUCUUUUUUUGUAUGUGUUUUUGCCUUCAGUUACUGCAGUAUGUCCUAUUAUUACCUCUUGGUUUUUUCACAAUCAGGCAAUCAUCUUCAAACAGAACAUUAUUUGUACCAAUAACAUCCUCGUCCCUGCACGUGCGCUCCAUGUAGGACUCGGCUCACAGGUUCUGUCAGUCAAAGCACCCACAAGGGACACGUACAUACAUACACUUGCUUAGAUCAUCAUCACCCAUCACUAUGGAUAUACUUCCUGUCUGCAUGUGUGUGCCUUGAAGGCAACGUUGUCCUGAUGGGUCACUGACCCACUCAACCAUUCAAUCAUCCCAAAAGGCAGCCAGUGUCUGCAUGGGCUGCUCACUACCUGGGUCAGCGAACACAAAGCAGGAAGACAUUAAAACACUGCAGUCAUCGCCGUAUUGUCAUCGCAAUAUUGAACACUUAGGUGAUCACACACCCAAUUACUAUUCAUAAUAUUGUGCAGCCUCACUGUAAACUGUGUAUAUUCUGUAUGCUGGUGUUGGUUCACUGUCUCCACAAUUAAUGUGACAAUUUAAUUUGUAGCCACAGUGACUCAAGUGUUCUGUACUGGGGCUAAUCAAAGUGUGGCGCCAUUAAUCUCUGUGAUACAGCAACUGCUUGCUGCCUGUUUAUGCCUUGAAGAAGGUCACUGACUGGAGACUUGCACUGAAAAAGAUUUUUGCACAGA
Solea senegalensis (Senegalese sole) is the source of this 729-nucleotide long non-coding RNA. RefSeq lists it as uncharacterized. NCBI's taxonomy places the organism in Eukaryota, Metazoa, Chordata, Actinopteri, Pleuronectiformes, Soleidae. The record is from RefSeq and is a predicted model, not a curated record. The transcript has 2 exons.